UACGUAGGGGGCGAGCGUUGUCCGGAAUUAUUGGGCGUAAAGGGCGCGUAGGCGGUGCCACAAGUCACCUGUGAAAUCUCCGGGCUUAACUCGGAGCCUGCAGGCGAAACUGUGGUGCUGGAGUGUGGGAGAGGUGCGUGGAAUUCCCGGUGUAGCGGUGAAAUGCGUAGAUAUCAGGAGGAACACCGGUGGUGUAGACGGCUAUCUGGACCGUAACUGACGCUGAGACACGAAAGCGUGGGUAGCAAACAGG
This 253-nucleotide ribosomal RNA is filed under the name uncultured prokaryote. RNAcentral describes it as "partial 16S ribosomal RNA". It matches the Rfam family "Bacterial small subunit ribosomal RNA", at positions 524 to 776 of the family's 1533-position model. The record is from RNAcentral.